GCUGGGCACUGUGGUGCAUGCCUGUAUCCCAGUGGCCUGGGCGGCUGAGACAGGAGGAUUGCAAGUUCAAAGCCAGCCUCAGCAAAAGUAAGGCCCUAAGCAACUCAGUGAGACCCUGUCUCUA
This 124-nucleotide small RNA is filed under the name Marmota monax (woodchuck). Lineage: Eukaryota; Metazoa; Chordata; Mammalia; Rodentia; Sciuridae. The record is from RNAcentral.